RNAcentral lists this ribosomal RNA (449 nucleotides) under uncultured bacterium. RNAcentral describes it as "bacterial SSU rRNA". It matches the Rfam family "Bacterial small subunit ribosomal RNA", at positions 32 to 495 of the family's 1533-position model. The record is from RNAcentral.
CAAAACGCUGGCGGCGUGCCUAACACAUGCAAGUCGAACGUCUCCCUGGUUUCGGCCAGGGAGGGAGUGGCGGACGGGUGAGUAACACGUGGGUAACCUACCCUGUGGUGAGGAAUACCGGCGAGAAAUUGUCGACAAGACCGCAUACGCUCUCGACAGAGAGCAAAGCUCCUUGCGAAAGCGAGGGGCGCCAGAGGAUGGGCCUGCGGCCGAUUAGCUAGUUGGUGGGGUAACGGCUCACCAAGGCGACGAUCGGUAGCUGGUCUGAGAGGACGAUCAGCCACACUGGGAUUGAGAACGGCCCAGACUCCUACGGGAGGCAGCAGUGAGGAAUUUUCCGCAAUGGAGGCAACUCUGACGGAGCAACGCCGCGUGCAGGAGGAAGGUCUUCGGAUCGUAAACUGCUUUUAUCAGGGAAGAGAACGGACGGUACUGAUGAAUAAGCCCCC